Molecule: ribosomal RNA, 549 nt
Filed under: Tritia grana
Lineage: Eukaryota; Metazoa; Mollusca; Gastropoda; Neogastropoda; Nassariidae
Description: partial 12S ribosomal RNA
Source: RNAcentral
AUACCAAGUGAUUAAGUUAUAUCUUUAGGUAAAAAGACAGUUAAGCUUAAAUUUUAAAAUUAGUUUAUUAACCAUCUAUAAAAAAGUAAAAUUUGUAUAUAGGUAGCUAAUCUAUGAAUGACUAUUGUAGAAGGCUGAAGCUGUGAUAGUCUUGAGGGAAACUGGGAUUAGAUACCCCAUUAUUCUUGACUGUAAAUAUAAUUAAAUUUACCAGAGUACUAUGAAUAGUUAAGAAUUUAAAACUCAAAGGGCUUGGCGGUGUUUUAGACCUAUCAGGGGAACCUGUCUCGUAAUCGACAAUCCACGAUAUAUCUAACCUUAUUUCGUAUUCAGUUUGUAUACCGUCGUCGUCAGGUAACUUUUAAAAAUAUAGAAGUUAGCAAUAAAAAUUUAUCUAAAUUAAGACGUCAGAUCAAGGUGCAGCCUAUAAUAAGGGGAGGAUGGGUUACAAUUAUUAAAUUUAUAAUCACGGAAAUUUAAAUGAAACUAUAUUUAGAAGGAGGACUUGAAAGUAAACUAAAAUAUAUAAAUAGUUUGAAUUAGGCUCUG